GACGAACGCUGGCGGCGUGCCUAACACAUGCAAGUCGAACGGGGUAUAAGAUUUCGGUUUUGUACCUAGUGGCGAACGGGUGAGUAACGCGUGAACAACCUGCCUUUCUGAGGGGGAGUAACACCUGGAAACAAGUGCUAAUACCGCAUAAGACCACAGGGUCGCAUGGCCCAGGGGUCAAAGGAGCAAUCCGCAGAAAGAGGGGUUCGCGUCCCAUUAGGUAGUAGGCGGGAUAACAGCCCACCUAGCCAACGAUGGGUAGCCGAGCUGAGAGGCUGAUCGGCCACACUGGAACUGAGACACGGUCCAGACUCCUACGGGAGGCAGCAGUGGGGAAUAUUGGGCAAUGGGCGCAAGCCUGACCCAGCAACGCCGCGUGAGGGAAGAAGGCCUCGGUUGUAACCUCUGUCCUUGGUGACGAAGAAAGUAGACGGUAGCCAAGGAGGAAGCCCGGCUAACUACGUG
Molecule: ribosomal RNA, 465 nt
Filed under: uncultured bacterium
Lineage: Bacteria
Description: bacterial SSU rRNA
Rfam family: Bacterial small subunit ribosomal RNA
Source: RNAcentral